CUGUGACUGCAGACGUGAGUAGACCAACUGAGGAGCACAGCUGUCAGAGAACCAGCGCACCCAAAAGAAAGAGGGGCGGCGGAUUCGAAAUGAGCGCCCAUGGUCCAUCGGAAGUCGCCGCCGCCGCAGAGUCGACACCGAUAUCGUCUUCGUUGUCGUCUUCUUCGCCAUCUUCCUCACUUCCAGCACCUAGUGCUGUGGGAACGCUCCCGGCCUGCUGCACUGAAGCCUUCAAGGAGCACUACAGAAGAGGCGAGGUGCCCCGGUUCGGCUGCUACGAUCCGGUGUAUCUCCGCCAAGCGUUCGAUACCUCACCGACGCUUGACUCCGCGAUGCGUAACCCAACGCACGCGAGCUUUUUUCCUCCCUUCUCGUAUCUUGUUCGCACCUACGCUGAUCAUGGCGCCGCGUCGUCCUCCUCGCCUCUCGCCAGCCGCAUCGCGGGUGGUGCACCCGCGGUGGAUGAGGAUGCAGAUCAGGACGCCGUGACACUGACGGCGGAUCGUGCGCGACCGGUGCACAGCUGGGAGCACAUCACGAGCGCGGAGGACAUGUGGAACGGGCCACCGCUGACCAUGAAGGUGCCUCCUGCCUCGGAUUAUGAGCGCAUCUUGCUGGAUCGUCCACCACGAGAUGCCUGAGCAGUAGAGGCCCUAUCCUAGUCGUUGCGCAGGGUACAGUGCUCAAGUGGCGGUCGCCUGUUUCCUUUCCUUUUUUCGUGUGUCUUCUCGACGUACUGUUGUCGUCGUUGCGUUGGUUGCAUAAAGUGUGGCAGAUGUGUGCGGCACGCUGGCUUGCGGUGGCGAGGCGCCUGCAGUCAUGUGCCCACGCGGCACACCCUUGAGCGCCUCCGUACACUCUUUCGAUCAAAAGGAAAGAGUGUUGGCUGCCGCUUCACCGGCAUGGCCCCGUAUGCGCACCCUAGCCAAGCGCGGCUUAAGAGUGGACUCAUGCUUCUCUACCUCAAAAAUGGACUCUCUCUUGUCUUGUCUUGGCGGAGCGCUUCCUCACGUACGUGCACACGAACAUGUGUCUGUGCCUGUGCGUGCGCGCCCCUUUUGCACGCAACAUCUUCGCGGUCGCGUCCGACGUUGCCGUGCCGUUCAC
Molecule: unclassified non-coding RNA, 1107 nt
Filed under: Leishmania donovani
Lineage: Eukaryota; Euglenozoa; Kinetoplastea; Trypanosomatida; Trypanosomatidae
Description: gene:LdHU3.33.3130(CDS-product:hypothetical_prote in)
Source: RNAcentral